RNAcentral lists this ribosomal RNA (538 nucleotides) under uncultured archaeon. RNAcentral describes it as "bacterial SSU rRNA". It matches the Rfam family "Archaeal small subunit ribosomal RNA", at positions 349 to 887 of the family's 1478-position model. The record is from RNAcentral.
UUUACAAUGCGGGAAACCGUGAUAAGGGAAUCUCGAGUGCCAGCAUAUAAUGUUGGCUGUCCAGAUGCCUAAAAAGCAUUUGUUAGCAAGGGCCGGGCAAGACCGGUGCCAGCCGCCGCGGUAACACCGGCGGCCCGAGUGGUAACCGUUUUUAUUGGGUCUAAAGGGUCUGUAGCCGGCCAUGUAAGUCCCUUGGGAAAUCUGGCAGCUCAACUGUCAGACUGCUAGGGGAUACUGCUUGGCUUGGGACCGGGAGAGGUGAGAGGUACCUUGAGGGUAGGGGUGAAAUCUUGUGAUCCUCGGGGGACCACCAGUGGCGAAGGCGUCUCACCAGAACGGAUCCGACGGUAAGGGACGAAAGCUAGGGGCACGAACCGGAUUAGAUACCCGGGUAGUCCUAGCCGUAAACGAUGCUCGCUAGGUGUCAGUCACGGUGCGACCGUGAUUGGUGCCGUAGGGAAGCCGUGAAGCGAGCCACCUGGGAAGUACGGCCGCAAGGCUGAAACUUAAAGGAAUUGGCGGGGGAGCACUACAACGG